GUGGCUGUAGCUCAGGGGUAGAGCACCUGGUUGUGGUCCAGGAUGUCGCGGGUUCAAAUCCCGUCAGCCACCCCA
Molecule: transfer RNA, 75 nt
Filed under: Trueperella bialowiezensis
Lineage: Bacteria; Bacillati; Actinomycetota; Actinomycetes; Actinomycetales; Actinomycetaceae
Description: tRNA-His(gtg)
Rfam family: tRNA
About the family: Transfer RNA (tRNA) molecules are approximately 80 nucleotides in length. Their secondary structure includes four short double-helical elements and three loops (D, anti-codon, and T loops).
Source: RNAcentral